Molecule: ribosomal RNA, 468 nt
Filed under: uncultured bacterium
Lineage: Bacteria
Description: partial 16S ribosomal RNA
Rfam family: Bacterial small subunit ribosomal RNA
Source: RNAcentral
GACGAACGCUGGCGGCGUGCUUAACACAUGCAAGUCGAACGGAAAGGCCCUGCUUUUGUGGGGUGCUCGAGUGGCGAACGGGUGAGUAACACGUGAGUAACCUGCCCUUGACUUUGGGAUAACUUCAGGAAACUGGGGCUAAUACCGGCUAGGAGCUCCUGCUGCAUGGUGGGGGUUGGAAAGUUUCGGCGGUUGGGGAUGGACUCGCGGCUUAUCAGCUUGUUGGUGGGGUAGUGGCUUACCAAGGCUUUGACGGGUAGCCGGCCUGCGAGGGUGACCGGCCACAUUGGGACUGAGAUACGGCCCAGACUCCUACGGGAGGCAGCAGUGGGGAAUAGUGCACAAUGGGCGGAAGCCUGAUGCAGCAACGCCGCGUGCGGGAUGACGGCCUUCGGGUUGUAAACCGCUUUCGCCUGUGACGAAGCGUGAGUGACGGUAAUGGGUAAAGAAGCACCGGCUAACUACGUG